This 497-nucleotide ribosomal RNA is filed under the name uncultured bacterium. RNAcentral describes it as "partial 16S ribosomal RNA". It matches the Rfam family "Bacterial small subunit ribosomal RNA", at positions 28 to 507 of the family's 1533-position model. The record is from RNAcentral.
GAUGAACGCUGGCGGCGUGCCUAAUACAUGCAAGUCGAGCGAACAGACGAGGAGCUUGCUCCUCUGACGUUAGCGGCGGACGGGUGAGUAACACGUGUAUAACCUACCUAUAAGACUGGGGUAACUUCGGGAAACCGGAGCUAAUACCGGAUAAUAUAUUGAACCGCAUGGUUCCCUAGUUAAAGUCGGUUUUUCUUUCACUAAUAGCUGGCUCCGGGUCGCAUUAGCUAGUUGGUAAGGUAACUGCUUACCAAGGCAACGAUUCGUAGCCGACCUGAGAGGGUGAUCGGCCACACGGGAACUGAGACACGGUCCAGACUCCUACGGGAGGCAGCAGUAGGGAAUCUUCCGCAAUGGGCGAAAGCCUGACGGAGCAACGCCGCGUGAGUGAUGAAGGUCUUCGGAUCGUAAAACUCUGUUAUUAGGGAAGAACAAAUGUGUAAGUAACUAUGCACGUAUUGACGGUACCUAAACAGAAAGCCACGGCUAACUACGUG